ACAUUUUUAAUUAACAGGUUCUCAAAAAUACAAUCUAUUCAAACUAAUUUAACAAAGCAACAUUAACAAUACAAAAUAUAUAUAUGCAGCUUCAUCUAAAAUCUGUCCCACCAACAGUGGCUUGCACAAGUGAACAACAGAGAUGGCAUCAUCCAAGGACACAGGGUGUCAGUCCAGAGGCAAUGAGUCAACUUAGUUCAGAAACCAUGUUCUUUAGGGAAGACAGGAGUAAAGUCUACGCUGUACAAAGCUCACACAGGUCCACUUCCAGAUCCACACAUCCUGGCUUCUGGAGCAAAACUAAACCAGAUUGACCCAAAACCUUUGUUGGCUCAUAUACUUGGAGGCAUGUCAGAAAUGGAGUUGGUCAGCUCGCAGUUUGGUCUAUUACCCCGGAGCAGUCCUCUUUCGUACCACUAUCCUCUCACAGCUGCUGAUCAACCUACAGUUGAUUUCCCCAACCUGCCAGUGUGUGGCAGUCAGUUUAGUACAAACCUAAAUUUUGUUCCCACUCACCACCAAUCUUUUCAUUUGCAGUCAAUACAAGUGUCACAUGUCUUAUCCGGUCAGAUUGAGCACAAUACUCGACUACAGUCAAAUUUUGCCGCCUGGGCACAUGUGCGUCAACCAAGAGUCACCGCAAGCAGGUUUAGAGAAGUCUGCUAUGUGGUUGGUGAAUCUGCUAGCCAGUCAUUAGCAGCACGUAUACUAAAAGGCACAAAGCAGACAAGUCCUAGGAAACGUAGACUUGAACUUGAACCAGAAAUUUUGAAACAAUAUUCUGAAACAAAGAGGGUUACGGUUUUACCUUGUGGCUUUGUUGUUCACCCAGAUGCACCACAUCUAGGAGCCAGUCCAGAUGGGAGAGUAUAUGAUCCAUCUGAAAUCUUCCCAUUUGGUCUAGUGGAAGUACAUCUGCUGAAAGUAUAGGCCAGGCUUCAUUUAUUAAAAUGCAAAAGGGCCAAGCCAAACUCAAAGAAAUACACAAAUACUAUUGGCAGGUUCAAGGCCAGCUUGCCGUAACUGGUCUGCAGUGGUGUGACUUUGUGACUGACACACAGUCAGACAUAACCAUUCAGAGGAUCUGGCGAGAUGAUGUCUUUAUAACAUCAAUGAAGGAGAAGUUGGACAUUUAUUACUAUUAUGUAUAUAUGGACAAGUAUCUAUCUAUGGUUUAAACAUUGCUGUAGUAAAAGGUUAAUUCACACAAAAUUUAUAGUAUUAAUUACUCACCUUGAUACUUGCACUUGUGAGCUAACCCUUUAAAAUUGCUACCACGGUAUGUAUAUAUGUAGAGUAAUUUAUUUUAUAUUGUUUUACAACUUUGUCUAUUUUUAAACUACUAUUAUAAUUGUUAAAAUUUCAUGUUGUAUCAGUUCAGGUUUACAAUUCUGUAUUAUAUCUGAAACUAACAAUAAAAUGUGUCAAAUAACAACUGGACAACAGAA
Molecule: non-coding RNA, 1448 nt
Organism: Danio rerio (zebrafish)
Lineage: Eukaryota; Metazoa; Chordata; Actinopteri; Cypriniformes; Danionidae
Source: RefSeq, a predicted model, not a curated record